This 26-nucleotide non-coding RNA is filed under the name Mus musculus (house mouse). The record is from RNAcentral. Lineage: Eukaryota; Metazoa; Chordata; Mammalia; Rodentia; Muridae.
UAGGGUACCUGCAUACCACGUGUGAC